AUAUGGUGUUAUAGUACCAUUGCAGAAUUCCAUCUGCAGCGGCAGACUGCAGGAGGUAACAACGUGAGGCAUGGUCAUUUUUCAGUGAUAACCACAUGGACAAUAUAAUAAUUUACUUCACUGAAAUGUUCUGCACAGUGUUAUAUUAAAGCAAGAAACCCUGGCUC
Thalassophryne amazonica is the source of this 167-nucleotide long non-coding RNA. RefSeq lists it as uncharacterized. NCBI's taxonomy places the organism in Eukaryota, Metazoa, Chordata, Actinopteri, Batrachoidiformes, Batrachoididae. The transcript is spliced from 3 exons. The record is from RefSeq and is a predicted model, not a curated record.